GGGGAAUCUUGCACAAUGGGGGCAACCCUGAUGCAGCGACGCCGCGUGAGCGAUGAAGCCCUUCGGGGCGUAAAGCUCUUUCGACCGGAACGAUAAUGACGGUACCGGGAGAAGAAGCUGCGGCUAACUACGUGCCAGCAGCCGCGGUAAUACGUAGGCAGCAAGCGUUGUUCGGAGUUACUGGGCGUAAAGAGUGCGUAGGCGGUCUUCUAAGUUCGGUGUGAAGUCUCCCGGCUUAACUGGGAGGGUGCGCCGAAGACUGGGAAGUUGGAAUGUGGGAAAGGCAGGCGGAAUUCCUGGUGUAGCGGUGAAAUGCGUAGAUAUCAGGAGGAACACCGGCGGUGUAGACGGCUUGCUAGACCAUAACUGACGCUGAGGCACGAAAGCGUGGGUAGCAAACA
RNAcentral lists this ribosomal RNA (401 nucleotides) under uncultured bacterium. Its description in RNAcentral is "bacterial SSU rRNA". It matches the Rfam family "Bacterial small subunit ribosomal RNA", at positions 356 to 774 of the family's 1533-position model. The record is from RNAcentral.